CCUACGGGAGGCUGCAGUGAGGAAUAUUGGUCAAUGGUCGGGAGACUGAACCAGCCAAGCCGCGUGCGGGAAGACAGCUCAGAGAGUUGUAAACUUCUUUUGUACAGGGGUAAACCUGAAUACGUGUAUUCAGCUGAAAGUACUUUACGAAUAAGGAUCGGCUAACUCCGUGCCAGCAGCCGCGGUAAUACGGAGGAUCGAAGCGUUGUCCGGAUUUAUUGGGUUUAAAGGGUGCGUAGGCGGGUGGAGAAGUUAGAGGUGAAAUGUCCGAGCUUAACUCGGGAGCUGCCUCCAAUACUGUUGAUCUAGAGAGUAGAUGCGGUAGGCGGAAUGUAUGGUGUAGCGGUGAAAUGCUUAGAGAUCAUACAGAACACCGAUUGCGAAGGCAGCUUACCAAUCUAUAACUGACGUUGAGGCACGAAAGCGUGGGGAGCAAACAGGAUUAGAUACCCCAGUAGUC
Molecule: ribosomal RNA, 460 nt
Filed under: uncultured bacterium
Lineage: Bacteria
Description: partial 16S ribosomal RNA
Rfam family: Bacterial small subunit ribosomal RNA
Source: RNAcentral